UACAGAGGGUGCGAGCGUUAAUCGGAAUUACUGGGCGUAAAGCGCGCGUAGGCGGCUUUGCAAGCCGGAUGUGAAAUCCCCGGGCUUAACCUGGGAACUGCAUUCGGGACUGCAUUGCUAGAGUAUGGGAGAGGGAAGUGGAAUUUCAGGUGUAGCGGUGAAAUGCGUAGAUAUCUGAAGGAACAUCAGUGGCGAAAGCGGCAUUCUGGACCAUAACUGACACUGAGAGACGAAAGCCAGGGGAGCAAACGGG
This 253-nucleotide ribosomal RNA is filed under the name uncultured bacterium. Its description in RNAcentral is "partial 16S ribosomal RNA". It matches the Rfam family "Bacterial small subunit ribosomal RNA", at positions 524 to 776 of the family's 1533-position model. The record is from RNAcentral.